The sequence is a transfer RNA, 101 nucleotides long. It matches the Rfam family "tRNA". Rfam says of the family: Transfer RNA (tRNA) molecules are approximately 80 nucleotides in length. Their secondary structure includes four short double-helical elements and three loops (D, anti-codon, and T loops). The record is from Rfam.
GCCCUUGUAGCUCAGUGGGAGAGCGCAUCACUCGUAGCCUUAGGCAUCCUGCCUUUGAAGUUGACAUGAUGAGGUCCGCGGUUCAAUCCCGCGCGGGGGCA